This 1035-nucleotide long non-coding RNA is filed under the name Numida meleagris (helmeted guineafowl). RNAcentral's name for it is "lncRNA (ENSNMEG00000002285.1)". Lineage: Eukaryota; Metazoa; Chordata; Aves; Galliformes; Numididae. The record is from RNAcentral.
CACAACAUCUUUGGAUGUUGUGAAUAUAGUAUUAAAUAACAUCACUCUUAUUAUUUUACUUGUUUGUUGUUGUUGUUUUUCCUAGGCACUUUGUGUUCCCAGUGUUGCAGACUCAUACAUGGAACCACUUAUGACUUUACAGCAGUAGCCACGGAUUAUAUGUGGGCUGCUAUGAAGACCUUACCUCAUCAUUUUGCAUAAUCAUCAUGACUGAAGUAACAAUUGCUGCAGCUAGCACUAUUGAUCUCAAUAGUGCUCAGGUAAUUAAGAGCUCUUUAUGAAGUACUCAAAUGAAAAAGGAGGAUUUUCAGCAGUUCUCAGCAUUGUUGUUCCAGGUAAGAGCUAUCAGCUUCCCACAAACUUAAAAAAUCUGUCCAUGGCACACUGAAAACAUGUAGUACAGCAUAAAUUUGUAGAUAUUUAAUUUUUUUGUCAAAUCUGGUAAGCAUAUCAGGAGAGUUCUUACGGAAUGUCUUACUGUUGCACAGGACUUGUACUGCAGAAAUGGUGUGGAUCCCCAGAUGGAAGGAAUUGUACUAAUUGACACACUCUUUCAAGAUUUCAAUUGCAAAUCACGUGAAAAGUACAGACACCUUUCCUAAAUAAGUAAAAAGAAGAGAAUAUGUUGAGUGAAGUAGUCAGGAUUUAAAAGAGACUGGAGAUUUGUCAAAUGAAGAAUUUACAGAGUGACCUUAUGUCAGGUGGCAUAGAGUUGAUUUUCUUCCUAGAGGAGCUUUGCAGAAAUAAAAAAUACUCAAAAUCAGCAUCACCAAGAACAGCAGUGUUGUUCAGAACAUCUGUUAUUGAAGAGCUCGGCCUCAAGCAUCUUUAAAUGAGCAUCUGGUUGUUUAUUUAUUUAUUUGUUUACUGUUGCAAUUGAUUUUAAAAUAAUCAAGACAUUGUAAAUCCAAAAGUCUUUUAGAAGUAUUUUAAGGAAUGCUGGAAAACAAUUGUUUCUACAAUUGAACAGCUUACCUAUGUUUUGCACAGCAAUAUCAGACUGCAACAAUAAAAAAACCAGUUAUUCUUCUGUCA